This 265-nucleotide long non-coding RNA is filed under the name Solanum tuberosum (potato). Its description in RNAcentral is "long non-coding RNA (STUB_LNC005649)". The record is from RNAcentral. Lineage: Eukaryota; Viridiplantae; Streptophyta; Magnoliopsida; Solanales; Solanaceae.
UUUGAGAAUAAUUUUUUUUUUUUUUAGUAAAAUAGCUUCUAACUCGGAAACAAAUCCCGAUAAUUGAUAAUCACGACACCCAACACAACCCUGACGACAGAUUCAGAAUCCGACCCUGAGAUCUGACCUAGGACUUGACCCCGACUUCCAAUCCGAGACACGACAUUCGAACUGAGACCCAAUCCCGACCCCACACUUGAUCUAUGAACACGACCUCGACAACAGAUGCGGGAUCUGAUCCCGACAUUCGACCUCGGACCUGACC